Neofelis nebulosa (Clouded leopard) is the source of this 3463-nucleotide long non-coding RNA. RefSeq lists it as uncharacterized. Lineage: Eukaryota; Metazoa; Chordata; Mammalia; Carnivora; Felidae. The transcript is spliced from 4 exons. The record is from RefSeq and is a predicted model, not a curated record.
AUCUGAGCAAAGGCAGAGGGGCUCAUCAGAGAAGCCGAAGGAGCGCCCAGGACGCCUGCCACCAAGGGCCACGCCGCCCCACGCAGGCCUCCCAGCCGGGGCCGCGCACAUCAUGACCCCAGGGCCCGUUCACUCCUAGGGACGUGGCGGCAGAGGCCAAGGGGGACAGCCAGGCAACACCGCCCAACGCAUCCCAGGAAGGGGUGAGAAGGGGCAUCUGUGCCCUGGAGAUCACCCCGGAGGGACCCUGUUUACUGGCAAAAGGAGGUCUUAACCCGAUGUCUCCCUUCGGGACAAAGUGCACGGGUAGGCGUCAAAUGAAGGGAGUGGCAUGACACGGGAAAGACCCGAAGCCUGGAGCGCCAGGCCUGGGUUCAAAUCCCAGCCGCGCCUCUCGGGACAAGUCACUUAGCCUCACUGAGCCUCAGUUUCCUCACUGAGAUGUGCCAGGGUCUAUGAGGACUAACGGGGGCCAGGGAAGCACGCUGGACAGUAAGAUGAUCCGCGCAAACGGCAGCGGUUACUUUGGGGGCAAGCAGAAGGAAGUGAGUUCACACCCCCACCCCAUCUGCCAAACCCAAGUGAGGCCCCCGUCCCUUGCCCCCUAAAGCAGCCAAGUUUCUGACUGCACCGAGGCCCGGGAAAGGGAGGGAAGGCCGGAGCUGCCACGGAGCCGAGCACAGCUUCCCCAGCGUGGGGACAGACCGCGGCCACCACACCUCGCGGCAGGCAAAGCAGGAUGUGAGGCGGGAGAGAACGCGCGCCCAGGAGGGGGAAGCCGCGAGCUGAGCACUGGGGGAGCCUGGGGCCCGCAAACAGAGCCGCUGUCCCAGAAGUUAUCCCUGCACCGCCCCCCCAGCCCCCAGCCCUGGCAUCUUCCCCGACACACAGUCAGCCCUAUCCCACAGAACUUUUUUCACUGAUGGAAAUGCUGACUCUCGGCAUGCCCACAGGGGGUCCACCAGCCACCAGUAACUCCUGGGCCACCUGAAAAGCGGCUCUUGUCACUAAGGACCUGAAGUCCCGGUUAUAUUUAAUUGUAACUGAUUUAAACGUAAAGAACCACAUGACUAUCAUAAUGGGCAGUGCAGUUCUAGAACACUCUUUCCUUCCUGAAACUCUCUGCUGAAGGCGGAGAGCACUUCCCUGGGGGGCUCUGGUCCCUGCUAUCACCUUCCUCCAAGCAAACCCCCUGGUCCCCAGUGGAAGGGCCUGGAGCAGCGGGCUUGCCAAAAACCCAUUGGGCGUGAGGCCUGGGCACAGGGUGGUGGUGGCUUUUCAGGAACAAUGCUGACUUCUGGAAACACCCCUCGCCCCCCCACACCCCGCAAGAGGAAGGGGAAGUCCCCUGGGGCCUCCCUGCAUGGAAAUGGUAAAAUUCUUCAGUAGUGGUUCUUGGCUUCUAGGAGUGGGGCUCGGGGGUCAGAAACACCUGUGAUAAUCUAAGGAGAAGCACGGACGUCCGACCCCAGAAACUACACAGAGAUGCUCGUCCUCCUCUGGGGGUUGGGAGGGGUCACAAGCCCCAGAUUGGAAACCUCUGCUCUGAGAGCCCAGUUCCUUCCCGGAAGAAAGCUGGGGCAGGCGGCUAUCCUACAAACUCCUACUUCUCUUGCCGUUUUCCUGGGCAAAGAAGAGCAGCAAAUGAACACCCCAGAAGUGUCCGCACCAUCAACCGUGGUGCAGAGGCCGGACCAGGCAUCUGAUUCCAGGGUCACAGCCAGGGCAAGAACAGUGGUCAUAAGAAUCUUCCCUUCAAGGCUCCCGCUCCUCUCUGGGCCUUCGCCUUCUGAGAAGUUAAACCUGUCCCCCUCAGGCCACUGGCCCCCCCAAGGCGUGUUUAUAUGAACUAUAAAGUGCCUCCCCUCCCCCGCCACCUCCUCCUCCUCCUCCUCCCCCUCCCCCUCCCCCUCCGGGGAGGCCUCGGGUUCUCAUGAAACAGGACGUGGCACAGGAUGGACAGCAGACCCAGGUUUGAAUCCCGGCUCUGCCACUGACCAGCGCUGUGACCAUCAGCCAGUUACUUCUCUCCAGCCUCACUGAUGCUAAAUGACAGCAGUAAGACAGCUGCCUCCCCGGAUGCCCUGGGGACAAAACAGUCAGACUUCCUUACCCUGGAUCUCUCUGAACGGUUCAGGGCGGGAGGAACGUUCAGCAUCACUCACUAAGGCUCACAUCUCUCCAGGCAUCACCCAAACCCACCGCCACAGUUACCAAAUUUGCAGAUUCCUGGGCCUCGGUCCAGACCUACAGAAUCAGCAUCUCUGGGGGUGCAGCCCAGGAAUCUGCAUUCUCCAAAGCACCCAGCCUAGUCAGGUCUGGAGAAAGCUGGAGCCCCCAAGCAGCCAGGCAGAAGGAGAGCAGGUGCGAGGAGCAGGCGGGACGGGAGGACACAGACAGGACAACAGAGGAGAAAGGAGACCAGGAAAUAGACCCCCGCUUUAUUGGCUUUCCACGAUGUCACUACGCCACCGUGGCAAAUUUCAAACCACUAGUGUGACGUCGCUGAAUGCGGAGUCGGAAAGAGCGUGCAAUUGGUUCCUAGUUCUCGUGAGCUAGGAAGAGCGGACUCUGGCACACCGCUGCAGGAAGGAGUGGGCAAACAGAGCAAGGGACGGACGGACGGACGGACGGACGGAGGGCCGGUGGGCAUCUGGAUGGAAGGAGGGGUGGCUGACUAGCUUACACGCCACCUGGGAAGACGGAUGGAUGGAGAGACAAACACAGACAUUCAAACGCGUGAGCUGUGUGAGCAACACUGACAUCCGGUGAAGCAUUCAGAACGCCAAGAAGGUACUACUUCCAGAGUAGACCAGGAAACGGACCAUGAGCAGGAGCGCUGGAGGCAGGCGGGCCUGGGUUUAAGUCGCCACCCCCGGCUCACUAGCUGGAAUAGUGUCUUCACCUCUCGGAGGGACACCUUCCUCACUGGGAAAGUGGCCCGGAUGAUAACCACUUCACAGAGUUACUGAGAAGAUGGAAUGGGAAAUACAUGUAGACCCCAAGACUUAGCAAGCGCUCAAAACAUGGAAGCUAGUAUUACACUAUCUUUCAGAUUAUAAGUGCUCAAUAUUUGUUGAAUGGGUGGAUAGUUGGUAGGAUGGAUGGAUGGAUGGAAGGAUGGAUGGAUGGAUGGAUGGAUGGAUGGAUGGAUGGAUGGAUGGAAGGAUGGAUGGAUGGAUGGAUGGAUGGAUGGAUGGAUGGAUGGAAGGAUGGAUGGACGGAUGAACGGAUGGAUGGAUGGAUGGUUGGAUGGAGGGAGAAAUGCAGGGAUGGAUGGAUGGAUGGAUGGAUGGAUGGAUGGAUGGAUGGAUGGAUGGAUGGUUGGAUGGAGGGAGAAAUGCAGGGAUGGAUGGAUGGAUGGAUGGAUGGAUGGAUGGAUGGAUGGAUGAACGGAUGGAUGGAUGGAUGGUUGGAUGGAGGGAGAAAUGCAGGGAUGGAUGGAUGGAUGGAUGGAUGGAUG